AUUUAGAUAGCUUAAGUUUUAAAGCAUAAUAUUGAAGAUAUUAUUAUGGGUUUAUACCUCUAAAUA
This 66-nucleotide transfer RNA is filed under the name Bryanellocoris orientalis. RNAcentral's name for it is "tRNA-Phe". The record is from RNAcentral. Lineage: Eukaryota; Metazoa; Arthropoda; Insecta; Hemiptera; Rhyparochromidae.